RNAcentral lists this ribosomal RNA (492 nucleotides) under uncultured bacterium. RNAcentral describes it as "partial 16S ribosomal RNA". It matches the Rfam family "Bacterial small subunit ribosomal RNA", at positions 29 to 507 of the family's 1533-position model. The record is from RNAcentral.
AGUGAACGCUGGCGGUAGGCUUAACACAUGCAAGUCGAACGGCAGCACAGUAAGAGCUUGCUCUUACGGGAGUUGAGUGGCGGACGGGUGAGUAAUACAUAGGCAUCUACUUUUUCGUGGGGGGUCACGUAGCGAAACUUACGCCUAUAACGCAUACAAUCUCCAGGUGCAAGCAGGGCAUCUUAGGAACUUGCGCGAUUGCAUGAAACGAUGUCGGAUUAGCUAGUUGGCGGGGUAAAGGCCCACCAAGGCGACGAACCGUAGCGGGACUGAGAGGAUGAUCAGCAACACUGGAACUAAGACACGGUCCAGACUCCUACGGGAGGCGGCAGUGGGGAAUUUUGGACAAUGGGCGCAAGCCUGAUCCAGCCAGACCGCGUGGUUGAAGAAGGCCUUCGGGUGUUAAAGCCCUUUUGUUGGGAAAGAAAAGCAGCAGGUUAAGACCCCGCUGUUCUGACGGUACCCAAAGAAUAAGCACCGGCUAACUUCGUG